RNAcentral lists this ribosomal RNA (253 nucleotides) under uncultured bacterium. Its description in RNAcentral is "partial 16S ribosomal RNA". It matches the Rfam family "Bacterial small subunit ribosomal RNA", at positions 524 to 776 of the family's 1533-position model. The record is from RNAcentral.
UACGGGGGGGGCAAGCGUUGUUCGGAAUUACUGGGCGUAAAGGGCUCGUAGGCGGCCAACUAAGUCGGACGUGAAAUCCCUCGGCUUAACCGGGGAACUGCGUCCGAUACUGGAUGGCUUGAGUUCGGGAGAGGGAUGCGGAAUUCCAGGUGUAGCGGUGAAAUGCGUAGAGAUCGGGAGGAACACCAGUGGCGAAGGCGGCUACCUGGACCAGCACUGACACUGAGGCACGAAAGCGUGGGGAGCAAACAGG